Heterocephalus glaber (naked mole-rat) is the source of this 5222-nucleotide long non-coding RNA. The record is from Ensembl. Lineage: Eukaryota; Metazoa; Chordata; Mammalia; Rodentia; Bathyergidae.
CUGAAUGUACCUCCAGCCACAUAGCAGCUGGGCUGGGAGCCUGACAUACGUGGCCCCUGAGGAAAGAUGGCGUCGUAGGCACAGCGGGCAGGGCAGGGGCUCUUUUCUUCUGAGGCAGUUUGUGAAAGUUCUGUAGUUCAGCCUGGGCUUCUGGGAAGUCAGGAUAUGCUGCACAGAUUGUUGAGGGAAAGGAAUCUGACUCUUUACUCUUCGUUUUCUUCCCUGUGUGCAAAGUUCAGAAUCCAGUUUUCAUCCACAUAGCUUCUGGGGUCGUAGUGGACCACUGGCUUCACUUUGGAGUUCUCAAAAUACCUCUGACAACCAGCUUAGUGGCCAUGAGGACGACUUGUGCUGUCUUUCCAUUUCCUUCCUCCCUUUGCACACCCCAAACCUCCUGCCUGAUGAAAUCUCCCCCGGACUGCGAGUGAGGAGAAAGUCACACAAUAGUAGAGAUGAAAAAUAGCUGCCAUGUAUUUAGCUUAAAUUAGCUCAAAAGAACAGCCCCCUCCCUCCACAGAGUAGGCAGCAAUUGUUUAUGGCAACGUGCUAUUUGCAUUGUGGCUUCUUAGAUUUGAAAGUCUAAUGAUUAAAUACAAAUCUUAGUUUUUCUUUCUUCUUACAACUUAAAAAAAAAAACAAUACCAGCUUGGCUAGUUCUUCUCUUUUAAAAAUACCCUGAACUUCUGUGCUAGAGGGAGGGUUUGAGACACACUGGAGACAGGACACUGGAGAGAAAUUGUGGUCUGCAAUAACCAGAGUAGUGGGCGAUGUACUGGUAUGGGUGGGAGGGAGCUCUGUGUCCUCAUGCGGAUGGCAGUGUCCAAGGUGAGAGUUCUGUGGGUGUAUUUCUCUUGCAGCCAUUCAUUCAUUGGGUGAUUUAGUAAGUACCUACUCUGAAUUCAGUGAUGAGUGAUACAAAGCCUCUGAGGCUCAGAGCCUGAGGCGGGAGAGAGAUAAGAAACAGCCAACCACAAAUGUACACAUUUGCAAUGCACAUAGAUCUACAAAAAGAAAACUCAUAAGAGGACAGUGGGAAAGGGGGUCUGCUGGCCAAGUCUUUGGGAAGAGGUGACAUUUAAAUGAAGAUCUAAAGAAAGAGAACGAGGAAGGGAUGAUGAUUGUAAGCCAGGAUUUCACAACCUCAGCACCGUUGACCCAGGGCCCAGAUAUUUCUCUAUGGCGGGGACUGUCUUGGUCAUUGUAGGAUAUCGAACAGCAACCCUGGCCAUCAUCUUUCCAAUGCUAGUGGCCUCCCCUGUCCCCUGUGUGACAUCCAGACCCAUGUGCAGACAUUGCCUGAGGUCCUUGGGUUGUCUCUUUGGCCACACUACUAGGACUGGAAUCCAGCGAUGUGCCACCUGCAGCUUUGGAGAAAGAGGAAAACUCAAAGAGGGGGCACCUGGAGUGAGGAGGGCACCAAGCUCCAUAGUGUGAGGGCCACAUCAGCCAGGAGAAUGUGGCUACAGCAAGGGCCAAGUCCCCCAGGCAUCACCCCCAACAUGGGCAUCCUAGGAAGGAACUCUUCUUAGUCAACUCAAACCCUAAGACGUGUGCUAGGCAACCAUAGUGCUGCUCUCUGGAGCUCCUCAGGGACGUUUCCCCAGCUUCCCCAGGAAGGAGAGCCCCUAGAUAGUUCAGAGCCUUUCCCACCUUCUUACCAAUUUCCAGUUAGCUAUGGAGAAGAAAUUCAGCCCAGGCCACCAGCACUGCCUCCGGUGGAGAUAAAGCCACAAAAUACACCAUCUGGACCAGAUGUACAGCUCCAUCCUCUCCCACGUGGCUGACCUGGAGGUGGAGGCAGGUGGUGGGUGUGGGUCAUCUCUAAAGGCCCUGCUGUGACACCCCUAGAAUCAGACCCCAGAGGAGUCAGUGGGCCCAAGACUGGGGGUAGGGGGGAGCUGGGUAUUGAAAGGGCUGGGCUUGGAAAGUUGCUUUGGGAACUGGGGACAGCCAAGCCCCUUCCAAGAAGGAGGCUGGUCGGCUGGAGCCCUGAUGAGGCCAACCUCUCCCUCCCCUCCCCAGCCUGCCCCAGGUAGGGUACUGGACAAUUAACACUUAUGUGCAUCUUGGACAAUUAAUGCAAUGCAUUGGUCCUCGCAAUCCUAGCCGUUUCCUUCUUUAUUUUUCUACCUGUAUUGCAAAUAAUACCACUAGAAUAAUUUUUUUAAAUGGGUACAUAUGAACUUGUGUAAGUUCAAGAAACUGCUAUGUAGCUACAGUGUAGACACCAGGGUACUCCAAUGUACUUGUCCCAGGACCUCCACCCUGGUCCCCUAGCCCCACCCCCAAUCAGCCUCCUGAGGAGAGCUGCGUGGUCCCUGUAAGGCCGGGUAGCACUGGCCGAAUGGGCCCACAGAGAAGGGGACACAGCUAGUGUGGGUGCCUUCGGCUAAGCCCAAGCACAAUCAUGAGGUGCAUGCAUCUCUUUCCCACCUCUCCUUCCUCCUCCCAGCAGUCAUUUCUUGCCAGUUUGGUCACCAGGAAUAAAUCCUCCUAAAGCCCCCAGCCUCAGGGCCCAGACCCUGGGUGCCCCAUCGUAUUUCAGGCCCAGUGUCUCAUCCCACUUCUUCUCAUCCCACUGCUGCCCUUGACCAGCCCCCAACAGCUGGCCCGAGUCCCAAGAGGGAUGCCUGUGGGCCCUGGUCUCUUAGUCCCACCCUAGCUCCUUUCGUUGGCCUGUUGGUGCAUGGAAGAACACUAAGAAAAUCUUCCCCAUGUUCCAAAAGCGAAUGUCCCCAGCCACAAUUACUGCGUCAUCUGCAGAGCCCAGCACCAAGCAACCCCAUCCCUUCCCCAAGACUUAAUUUCAUGGAGUCAAUCAAUACAUGGUGAUUAAGUGCCUCGUGUGGAGCUAGGAAAAUGCAGAAGGAAGGGGUCCCUUGCCUUCAGGGUCCCUGGGCCCAGAGCUCCAGUUAGAGGAGCUUCAGUGGGAUUAUCAAGCCCCUAAGGAGCUCCCAUCCUCCAGAAAAAGGCCCUUGAGGAAGCCUUUUCCGAGGAGGAGACUUCUGAACAUCAUGUGAAAUGUGAGCAGAAUAGAAAUGGAAAGUAGGGAACAAUGUGCCAGGUGGAAGGAACAGCCUAUGUGCAGACUCAAGGACAAGAGCAGCAUUUAUUGACAUUUGCUGUUCCCUGCUUUCCCCAAGCUAGAUGCUGAGCCCUGGAAGUCUCCAUCCCCAAGUGGAAAAUGCCCAGGUCCAGACCUGGAGGCCUUGCCUUCUCUCCCCAGCGUGCUCUGAUGUCUACUCUUAGCCUCUUAGCCUCAGUGCCCUGGGUGGCAGAUGUCCAAGGGAGGGUUGGGACGAUUCCUAGGCCAUCUGAGAUAUUCUCUGCAUCUCUCGGUGGCCCUGCCAGCUGCUCUUUGACACCCACACCUACAUCUGCAUGAUGGAGGCUGUGUGACUGUUUUCUGGUGCCCUGUGUUACUUGUGCUGUCCGGGCACAUCCUUGCUAGAGCGGGUCUGCCACCAGCCCUACUUUCUGAAGCUCUUUCUCCUCUGUCGCUUCCUGUGUCAGCUUGUGACCUGCCUGAGUUCCCUGAGACCCACACAUCUGUCUUGCCACACUGGAAAGACCCCCACCCACCCCACAGUGUCACCAUGGUCCCUUUCCUGGACCCUUUGUGUUUGUCUGUGCUGGGCCACUGGAGGGCUGAGGUCAAGGACAUGCAGGAACACAGAAAUGGUCCCCACACACAAACGGUCUUGCUAGUCUGUUUUAGAAGUGGCUAAAAAAGACCCAGGAGUCAUCGUGAGCCGCUGGCCAAGUCUGCAGUACAGCCUGAGGCAGGGGAGGAUGUAUCAACUCUCAAUGGAAUAGGGGACCUGCUGUUCCUUUAGAUCUGCAUCAGAGCUUGAAGGAUUGGAAACAGAGCCUUCACGGACUCCAGGGCGUGUGUGGUUUCUGUGAAUUAGCCAGGCUUGUUUACCUGUUUGAACUUGACUCAGCUCACAAUUCCCAAGCCUCUCCCUGGUGUGGACAAUGAUCUCACCAACAACUUCUCAGCAUCUGCAGCACCUUUAGCGUAGUCCUUGGAUUCUUUUGGUUUCUGUGCACUUAGUAUACCGCUAACCUUCGAGUUUGCUCAGGACAGUAAAUGAAAAAAUGAAUGUCGGCAGCAUCACACAAUACCAGGCGCACAGUAGGUGCUCAAAAUAAGUGUGGCUUCUCAAUCACCCAACUGAAUCUCUCCUCCACCCCAAAUCCCAUCCUGAAAAACCAGGGGACCAGAAGAGACAGGCGGUGGGUGUUACCCAUUGGCUUAAUGGAGCAUGGGGAGAGAUGCUGGGUCUCAUAAGGACGACCCCACCCCAGCUCAGCAUCUGUAAGGCGAGGCUCUGUCUUAGGGAACUGGGGAGUCCUGGUGACACCACCCCUGCCCUCAACACCCUCACAGAAGCAGGGCUUUUCUCAUGCAGGCUCCAAGGGGAGAACUUGCAGGUUCAGUGGGACAGACAGGGCUGGUGCAGCCAGGUGAGUGCCUUGCUCAGGGCAGGGCCAGGCAGACCUGCGCCCCCACAAGGGUGGUCCCUGUGCCCACCUCCCAUUCCUCUCUCCUGAUCUCCGAUCUUUCGCCAGGGUCCGCUCCACAGACUUAUCGCAUGAUUCAUUUGGUUGAUUACUCUUGAAGUUACCGACCUUAGAAAAUUCCUCAAUUGUAAAAAGGCUUUCUCUCUGUGUAAAUGAUGCUGUUACCUUUUUCUAUACACAAAGUAUAUAUACCUAUAAAUAUUAUACAUAUAUAUUAUAUAUAUAAAGACUGAUUCUUGUACAGACCCAUGAGGACCGAUGGUCCACUUUGUUGUCUCCAUGUCUGUCUGUGCUGACUGUCGCAGAAUGAGCUGAUGUAUGAAACCCAUUCCACAUUUCCCUUCUGGGGCUGCUUCUUUCCUCUUUCUUUUCCCUUUGUAACUCUGUCUCUCUGGGUCUCUGUCUCUCUUUCUCACUCACUUGUUGCCAAUGUCUCGCUGCUGAGAAAGAAUAUUUGAUUCAAUGCCAUCCAGGAAGGGAGAGCCGGAUGGAGGGAGGGAGGGUCCACUGUAUAUAUUUGUACAGACUCAUUUAUAAAGUUUUCUACACUUCUCAAAAAAGUAUUUCUAUCUUGGGCUGUUGGACAGUUUGUGAGCCUCUGAGCCGGCAAGCCUAUUGUUUCUUGUGUUUAGUGCAAUGUUUAGUGAGAAUCCAAUGUCUGAAUUAUUUAUGCCAAUAAAGAAUUUGAGAAUUAC